CUGUUUGUUUUUUAAUCAAAAUUAGAUUCAGGCAGAGAAAACCCACCUCUUGUAAGAAAAAAUUCGCUUCUCCUUGCUCUCUCUCAGUUUACUUACUACAAGUUACAGGUACUAUGUACGCCGGCCAAUUUCCCAGUUUUGGGGAA
Molecule: small RNA, 146 nt
Filed under: Pseudomonas sp. TTU2014-080ASC
Lineage: Bacteria; Pseudomonadati; Pseudomonadota; Gammaproteobacteria; Pseudomonadales; Pseudomonadaceae
Description: Pseudomonas sRNA P14
Rfam family: Pseudomonas sRNA P14
Source: Rfam by way of RNAcentral